UGCCAGAGAAAACUUCUGAUGACGGAAGGAGAUGAAUCGACUCAAGUAAGGAAACGAUUACUAUCUUUUUCUUUAUUAUUUUUUCGAAAUAAAAAAUAAAAAGCUGAAAAUCACCUUUGAAAUUUUCUUUAUAUUCUGUCUUUUUUUCUAUUGCUUUGUGUAUAUUUCUCCCCGUAAAAAUUAGAUUACAUGGUGGCCAUGGCUUUUAUAGUCGAAUAUGAUACACUUUGUUGUUUUUUUUUUUACUGUUUCACUACUGUCCUUUGCGACUGUUCUUUCCGUUUUUUUGCUUCUGUCCUUGUUCUUUCUUUUUUGCAGGUGUCCUUGGCCGCCGCCGACGACGGACAGACGAGGUGUCAGACCUUGAGCGACAAAACCGUUAGCGAAGUGGAGACGGCGGCACGCAGAAACCCUAAGGUUUCUGACUUUUUUGAAAAAAUUUAAGUUUUUGGGCCACUGGGCCUCUUUUUUUGCAUUUGGGCUUGUAAUAUUUUUUUGGCCAUUUUGUAAUUGUUUUAUUUAUUUAUUGUUUUUUGGGUUUAGUUUGGGUUGAUUAGUUUGGGCCUUUUAUUUGUUUGUAAUUCGGGCCCGAGCAAAAUUGGGCUAUUACAACCACAAGACAUCAUAUAAUGGUACACCAAAGCCAACAUUUAUAACAUUUACAUUAUUUACCCCUACUAAAUACUUACUAUGAUAUCAUUAAUUUAGUAAUUAACUACUUAAUUAACAUAAUUAUCUAAUUAACAUAACUUAAACAAAAUUACUACUUGAAGUACUUACAACCAAAAUUUGGAUGAUGAGUUUUUCUUCUCUUUUACUGGCCACUUUUUUUCCUUUCUUUUCACUUUUGUCCUCAAACUUCUUCUCUUUUCCUUUAAUUUCAUAACAACAUAUAACAUUUAUAAGUUAAAACUAAAAAUCAAAUAACUUUUCUGUACUAGAUUAUGAAAAUAAACAUGUAUGCUAUGAGAAUUUUCAUCAUCCUUACCUUUUUUGAAAACCCAAAACCCUAACUCAUGUAUUUCUCUCUUUUAACUCAUCUAUGGAAGUUUACUCAUGAAAUAAAGUUGCUCACUAGUCUUCUUUUUAGAUUUUACUAAAGAAAUUUCAAAGAAAAAUGAAAGUUUGGAGCUUAGAUGGUUCAACAAUGGAGGAAGGACAUGGAAGGAAAUAAAAGAAAAGUUGGAUAGAUUUUAGGGGGGGUGAGUGACAGUUGGUAUGUUGGAAAAGAUGAUAUCUUUCAUCUUUCCUCC
Molecule: long non-coding RNA, 1253 nt
Filed under: Gossypium raimondii (Peruvian cotton)
Lineage: Eukaryota; Viridiplantae; Streptophyta; Magnoliopsida; Malvales; Malvaceae
Description: long non-coding RNA (GRAI_LNC010733)
Source: RNAcentral